RNAcentral lists this ribosomal RNA (250 nucleotides) under uncultured bacterium. RNAcentral's name for it is "partial 16S ribosomal RNA". It matches the Rfam family "Bacterial small subunit ribosomal RNA", at positions 15 to 248 of the family's 1533-position model. The record is from RNAcentral.
GAUCAUGGCUCAGGAUGAACGCUGGCGGCGUGCUUAACACAUGCAAGUCGAACGGGAAACCUUUUAUUGAAGCUUCGGCAGAUUUAGCUGGUUUUUAGUGGCGGACGGGUGAGUAACGCGUGGGUAACCUGCCUUAUACAGGGGGAUAACAGUCAGAAAUGACUGCUAAUACCGCAUAAGCGCACAGGACCGCAUGGUCCGGUGUGAAAAACUCCGGUGGUAUAAGAUGGACCCGCGUUGGAUUAGCUUG